This 492-nucleotide ribosomal RNA is filed under the name uncultured bacterium. Its description in RNAcentral is "partial 16S ribosomal RNA". It matches the Rfam family "Bacterial small subunit ribosomal RNA", at positions 29 to 507 of the family's 1533-position model. The record is from RNAcentral.
AGUGAACGCUGGCGGUAGGCCUAACACAUGCAAGUCGAACGGCAGCACAGUAAGAGCUUGCUCUUACGGGUGGCGAGUGGCGGACGGGUGAGGAAUACAUCGGAAUCUACUUUUUCGUGGGGGAUAACGUAGGGAAACUUACGCUAAUACCGCAUACGACCUACGGGUGAAAGCAGGGGAUCUUCGGACCUUGCGCGAUUGAAUGAGCCGAUGUCGGAUUAGCUAGUUGGCGGGGUAAAGGCCCACCAAGGCGACGAUCCGUAGCUGGUCUGAGAGGAUGAUCAGCCACACUGGAACUGAGACACGCUCCAGACUCCUACGUGAGGCAGCAGUGGGGAAUAUUGGACAAUGGGCGCAAGCCUGAUCCAGCCAUACCGCGUGGGUGAAGAAGGCCUUCGGGUUGUAAAGCCCUUUUGUUGGGAAAGAAAAGCAGCAGGUUAAUACCCCGCUGUUCUGACGGUACCCAAAGAAUAAGCACCGGCUAACUUCGUG